Molecule: transfer RNA, 73 nt
Filed under: Verrucomicrobiota bacterium
Lineage: Bacteria; Pseudomonadati; Verrucomicrobiota
Description: Verrucomicrobia bacterium tRNA-Pro
Rfam family: tRNA
About the family: Transfer RNA (tRNA) molecules are approximately 80 nucleotides in length. Their secondary structure includes four short double-helical elements and three loops (D, anti-codon, and T loops).
Source: RNAcentral
GCGUAGCGUAGCUUGGUAGCGCGUCUGAAUGGGGUUCAGAAGGUCGUGAGUUCAAAUCUCACCGCCCCGACCA